RNAcentral lists this ribosomal RNA (271 nucleotides) under uncultured bacterium. Its description in RNAcentral is "partial 16S ribosomal RNA". It matches the Rfam family "Bacterial small subunit ribosomal RNA", at positions 88 to 354 of the family's 1533-position model. The record is from RNAcentral.
CCGGCGACCGGCGCACGGGUGAGUAACACGUAUGCAACCUGGCCGUGACAGAUGGAUAACCGGGGAGAAAUCCCGCCUAAUACAACAUAAUGCCGGGAGGGGACAUCCCCUGCCGGUCAAAGGGGGCGACCCCGGUCAUGGAUGGGCAUGCGGCGCAUUAGGUAGUUGGUGGGGCAACGGCCCACCAAGCCGACGAUGCGUAGGGGUUCUGAGAGGAAGGUCCCCCACAUUGGAACUGAGACACGGUCCAAACUCCUACGGGAGGCAGCAG